CAGCCGCCGCGGGAAAACGAAGGGUGCAAGCGUUACUCGGAAUUACUGGGCGUAAAGCGUGCGUAGGUGGUGGUUUAAGUCCGUUGUGAAAGCCCUGGGCUCAACCUGGGAAUUGCAGUGGAUACUGGGUCACUAGAGUGUGGUAGAGGAUAGUGGAAUUUCCGGUGUAGCAGUGAAAUGCGUAGAGAUCGGAAGGAACAUCUGUGGCGAAGGCGACUAUCUGGGCCAACACUGACACUGAGGCACGAAAGCGUGGGGAGCAAACGGGAUUAGAUACCCCCGUAGUCCCUGUCUCUUAUAC
RNAcentral lists this ribosomal RNA (301 nucleotides) under uncultured bacterium. RNAcentral describes it as "partial 16S ribosomal RNA". It matches the Rfam family "Bacterial small subunit ribosomal RNA", at positions 509 to 807 of the family's 1533-position model. The record is from RNAcentral.